RNAcentral lists this long non-coding RNA (611 nucleotides) under Homo sapiens (human). Its description in RNAcentral is "novel transcript". The record is from RNAcentral. Lineage: Eukaryota; Metazoa; Chordata; Mammalia; Primates; Hominidae.
ACUCCAGCCUGGGAGAAAUGCUCUCUCUGCCAGAUGAUUCCUUUUGGAAGGAGAGGUACAAAAUCAUUGUGAAGAACUCAGGGGUAGGAAUGAUACCUAGGUUUAGGAUAAGAGCCUAAACUCCUAUGUCCUAUGAACCUCAGAAUGUGACCUUAUUUGGAUAUCAGAGUCUUUGCAGACGUAAUAAGUUAAGGAUCUCACAGUGAAAUCAUUCUGGACUUCGGAUGGGCCCUAAUCCAAUGAAUGAUGUCCUUAUAAGAAGAGGAGACUGCCAGGCAUGGAGGCUUAUGGCUGUACCAGCGCUUUGAGAGGCCGAGGUGGGAGGAUUGCUCGAGGCCAUGAGUUCAAGAACAUCCUGGGCAACACCCCCAGGACACCCCCACCUCCAUAUCUACAAAAAACUUUUAAAAAUUAGCAGGACAUGGUGGCACACAGCUGUAAUCCCAGCUAUUUGGGAGGCUAAGGCAGGAGGAUUGUUUGAACUCAGGAGUUCAAGGCUGCAGUGAGCUAUGAUUGCACCACUGCACUCCAGCCUGGGUGACAGAGUAAGACCCUGUCUCAACCAUAACAAAAAUAAGUUUCCUAAAAUAUAGUGAGUUUAUUUGUUCAAA